Molecule: ribosomal RNA, 588 nt
Filed under: Salmonella enterica subsp. enterica serovar Newport
Lineage: Bacteria; Pseudomonadati; Pseudomonadota; Gammaproteobacteria; Enterobacterales; Enterobacteriaceae
Also listed under: 1 other name
Description: partial 23S ribosomal RNA
Rfam family: Bacterial large subunit ribosomal RNA
Source: RNAcentral
AACGUGGACCCGUAAUCCGGGUUGCGGACAGUGUCUGGUGGGUAGUUUGACUGGGGCGGUCUCCUCCUAAAGAGUAACGGAGGAGCACGAAGGUUGGCUAAUCCUGGUCGGACAUCAGGAGGUUAGUGCAAUGGCAUAAGCCAGCUUGACUGCGAGCGUGACGGCGCGAGCAGGUGCGAAAGCAGGUCAUAGUGAUCCGGUGGUUCUGAAUGGAAGGGCCAUCGCUCAACGGAUAAAAGGUACUCCGGGGAUAACAGGCUGAUACCGCCCAAGAGUUCAUAUCGACGGCGGUGUUUGGCACCUCGAUGUCGGCUCAUCACAUCCUGGGGCUGAAGUAGGUCCCAAGGGUAUGGCUGUUCGCCAUUUAAAGUGGUACGCGAGCUGGGUUUAGAACGUCGUGAGACAGUUCGGUCCCUAUCUGCCGUGGGCGCUGGAGAACUGAGGGGGGCUGCUCCUAGUACGAGAGGACCGGAGUGGACGCAUCACUGGUGUUCGGGUUGUCAUGCCAAUGGCACUGCCCGGUAGCUAAAUGCGGAAGAGAUAAGUGCUGAAAGCAUCUAAGCACGAAACUUGCCCCGAGAUGAGUUC